Molecule: ribosomal RNA, 497 nt
Filed under: uncultured bacterium
Lineage: Bacteria
Description: partial 16S ribosomal RNA
Rfam family: Bacterial small subunit ribosomal RNA
Source: RNAcentral
GAUGAACGCUGGCGGCGUGCCUAAUACAUGCAAGUCGAGCGAACGGACGAGAAGCUUGCUUCUCUGAUGUUAGCGGCGGACGGGUGAGUAACACGUGGAUAACCUACCUAUAAGACUGGGAUAACUUAGGGAAACCGGAGCUAAUACCGGAUAAUAUUUUGAAACGCAUGGUUCAAAAGUGAAAGACGGUCUUGCUGUCACUUAUAGAUGGAUCCGAGCUGCAUUAGCUAGUUGGUAAGGUAACGGCUUACCAAGGCAACGAUGCAUAGCCGACCUGAGAGGAUGAUCAGCCACACUGGAACUGAGACACGGUCCAGACUCCUACGGGAGGCAGCAGUAGGGAAUCUUCCGCAACGGGCGAAAGCCUGACGGAGCAACGCCGCGUGAGUGAUGAAGGUCUUCGGAUCGUAAAACUCUGUUAUUAGGGAAGAACAUAUGUGUAAGUAACUGUGCACAUCUUGACGGUACCUAAUCAGAAAGCCACGGCUAACUACGUG